UCAGGACGAACGCUGGCGGCGUGCUUAACACAUGCAAGUCGAACGAAGCUUGAUUACGGAUUCUUCGGAUGAAGUAUGAUAUGACUGAGUGGCGGACGGGUGAGUAACGCGUGAGUAACCUGCCCUUCAGAGGGGGAUAGCGUUUGGAAACGAACGGUAAUACCGCAUAAAGUAUUUUGACCGCAUGAUCGAAAUACCGAAGAUUUAUCGCUGAAGGAUGGACUCGCGUCUGAUUAGGUAGUUGGUGGGGUAACGGCCUACCAAGCCGACGAUCAGUAGCCGGACUGAGAGGUUGAUCGGCCACAUUGGGACUGAGACACGGCCCAGACUCCUACGGGAGGCAGCAGUGGGGAAUAUUGCACAAUGGGCGCAAGCCUGAUGCAGCAACGCCGCGUGAAGGAAGACGGUUUUCGGAUUGUAAACUUCUGUUCUUAGUGAAGAAUAAUGACGGUAGCUAAGGAGCAAGCCACGGCUAACUACGUGCCAGCAGCCGCGGUAAUACGUAGGUGGCAAGCGUUGUCCGGAAUUACUGGGUGUAAAGGGAGCGCAGGCGGGUGAUCAAGUCAGCUGUGAAAACUACGGACUUAACCCGUAGACUGCAGUUGAAACUGUUCAUCUUGAGUGAAGUAGAGGUUGGCGGAAUUCCGAGUGUAGCGGUGAAAUGCGUAGAUAUUCGGAGGAACACCGGUGGCGAAGGCGGCCAACUGGGCUUUAACUGACGCUGAGGCUCGAAAGUGUGGGGAGCAACCAGGAUUAGAUACCCUGGUAGUCCACACUGUAAACGAUGAUUGCUAGGUGUGGGGGGUCUGACCCCUUCCGUGCCGGAGCUAACGCAAUAAGCAAUCCACCUGGGGAGUACGACCGCAAGGUUGAAACUCA
Molecule: ribosomal RNA, 879 nt
Filed under: uncultured bacterium
Lineage: Bacteria
Description: bacterial SSU rRNA
Rfam family: Bacterial small subunit ribosomal RNA
Source: RNAcentral